AGAACAAUAACAGACGUACACAAACACUCACACCACAGACAGACAGAGACACACACACACACACGUUACUCAGCUACCUUUCAUCGAUAUCAAUACUGGCAGCUCCCUUUUUGUAAAUUCAGUGAUAUAAUACCUGUGCAUUGUGGAUUUAUUUAUCAUUUUCUUUUUACAUUUAUCAUAUCAAAAGUAUUAAACAAUGUGAAUGGAAUGUACAAAUCUUAUAAAAAAGAUACAAUACAUAAAUAAUUAAAAAGGAGUUUGUAUAGUUAUGAAUGUAAUCACAUUUUUAUAAUGUUCCCGAUUUACGUUAUUAUUCUGGACUUUGGGCAGAAUGUGCAGAAGUGUGAUUGUAAUUCCCUUUUUCUUUUAUUUCAAUAAAGUUGAU
Long non-coding RNA from Etheostoma spectabile (orangethroat darter), 385 nucleotides. RefSeq lists it as uncharacterized. The transcript has 2 exons. The record is from RefSeq and is a predicted model, not a curated record. Lineage: Eukaryota; Metazoa; Chordata; Actinopteri; Perciformes; Percidae.